RNAcentral lists this ribosomal RNA (253 nucleotides) under uncultured bacterium. Its description in RNAcentral is "partial 16S ribosomal RNA". It matches the Rfam family "Bacterial small subunit ribosomal RNA", at positions 524 to 776 of the family's 1533-position model. The record is from RNAcentral.
UACGAAGGGGGCUAGCGUUGUUCGGAAUUACUGGGUGUAAAGAGCGCGUAGGCGGUUUUGUAAGUUAGACGUGAAAGCCCUGGGCUUAACCUGGGAAAUGCGUUUAAAACUACAAGGCUAGAGUAUGGGAGAGGAUAGUGGAAUUCCGAGUGUAGAGGUGAAAUUCGUAGAUAUUCGGAGGAACAUCAGAAGCGAAGGCGACUAUCUGGACCAUUACUGACGCUGAGGUGCGAAAGCGUGGGGAUCAAACAGG